This 154-nucleotide small nuclear RNA is filed under the name Anas platyrhynchos platyrhynchos (common mallard). Its description in RNAcentral is "U1 spliceosomal RNA (ENSAPLG00000030843.1)". Lineage: Eukaryota; Metazoa; Chordata; Aves; Anseriformes; Anatidae. The record is from RNAcentral.
UUGCUAAAUUAGCAGGAAGCCACUGACAAAUUUUCCCAAGGUAAGGUUUAAGCCUUGCACUCUCUUUUGGCCAACCCCUGCAAUUCAGUGAACUUGAGGGAACUCCACAGCAUAAUUUGUGGCAGCCGGGGACUGCAUUUGUUCUCUGCCCUGG